CACUUAUCAAGAAAGGCUGAGGGAUAUGGCCCAAUGAAGCCUUGACAACCUGUCUUGCGACAAGCAAGAUAAGGUGCCAACUCCAUCACGCGGAUUAGCGUGACAGAUAAAUG
This 113-nucleotide non-coding RNA is filed under the name Flavisolibacter tropicus. Its description in RNAcentral is "SAM-I sequence". It matches the Rfam family "SAM riboswitch aptamer (S box leader)". From Rfam's summary of the family: The SAM riboswitch is found upstream of a number of genes which code for proteins involved in methionine or cysteine biosynthesis in Gram-positive bacteria. The SAM riboswitch acts at the level of transcription termination control. Lineage: Bacteria; Pseudomonadati; Bacteroidota; Chitinophagia; Chitinophagales; Chitinophagaceae. The record is from Rfam by way of RNAcentral.